Molecule: ribosomal RNA, 495 nt
Filed under: uncultured bacterium
Lineage: Bacteria
Description: partial 16S ribosomal RNA
Rfam family: Bacterial small subunit ribosomal RNA
Source: RNAcentral
GACGAACGCUGGCGGCGUGCCUAAUACAUGCAAGUCGAACGCUGAAGGAGGAGCUUGCUUCUCCGGAUGAGUUGCGAACGGGUGAGUAACGCGUAGGUAACCUGCCUGGUAGCGGGGGAUAACUAUUGGAAACGAUAGCUAAUACCGCAUAAGAGUAGAUGUCGCAUGACAUUUGCUUAAAAGGUGCAACUGCACCACUACCAGAUGGACCUGCGUUGUAUUAGCUAGUUGGUGAGGUAACGGCUCACCAAGGCAACGAUACAUAGCCGACCUGAGAGGGUGAUCGGCCACACUGGGACUGAGACACGGCCCAGACUCCUACGGGAGGCAGCAGUAGGGAAUCUUCGGCAAUGGACGGAAGUCUGACCGAGCAACGCCGCGUGAGGGAAGAAGGUUGUCGGAUCGUGAAGCUCGGUUGUAAGAGAAGAACGAGUGUGAGAGUGGAAAGUUCACACUGUGACGGUAUCUUACCAGAAAGGGACGGCUAACUACGUG